This 253-nucleotide ribosomal RNA is filed under the name uncultured bacterium. Its description in RNAcentral is "partial 16S ribosomal RNA". It matches the Rfam family "Bacterial small subunit ribosomal RNA", at positions 524 to 776 of the family's 1533-position model. The record is from RNAcentral.
UACGUAGGGUGCGAGCGUUGUCCGGAAUUAUUGGGCGUAAAGAGCUUGUAGGCGGUUUGUCGCGUCUGCUGUGAAAACUCGGGGCUUAACUCCGAGCCUGCAGUGGGUACGGGCAGACUAGAGUAUGGUAGGGGAGACUGGAAUUCCUGGUGUAGCGGUGGAAUGCGCAGAUAUCAGGAGGAACACCGAUGGCGAAGGCAGGUCUCUGGGCCAUAACUGACGCUGAGAAGCGAAAGCAUGGGUAGCGAACAGG